GAAAUGCGAUACGUAGUGUGAAUUGCAGAAUUCCGUGAAUCAUCGAAUCUUUGAACGCAUAUUGCGGUCGAGGCUUCGGCCAAGACCAUGUCUGCCUCAGCGUCGGAGUAACCCCUCACCCCCCUCCCAAUGGGUUGGCGGGGUGGACUUGGCCUCCCCAGCUCUCGAGCUGGGUUGGCUGAAAUGUAGAGGUACGGCACGGACCUGUAUGGCACCAGCAAGGUAGGUAGCUCGUCUACUCCAGCUGAUGCUUUGGGCCCGCCCGCCGCACCCGCAGGAACCACUCUUUAUCGACCUGAGAUCAGGCAAGGCUACCCGCUGAACUUAA
RNAcentral lists this unclassified non-coding RNA (328 nucleotides) under uncultured fungus. Its description in RNAcentral is "sequence contains ITS1". The stretch from base 1 to 105 matches the Rfam family "5.8S ribosomal RNA", at positions 50 to 154 of the family's 154-position model. The record is from RNAcentral. Lineage: Eukaryota; Fungi.